This 290-nucleotide long non-coding RNA is filed under the name Durio zibethinus. RNAcentral describes it as "long non-coding RNA (DZIB_LNC000873)". The record is from RNAcentral. Lineage: Eukaryota; Viridiplantae; Streptophyta; Magnoliopsida; Malvales; Malvaceae.
UCUUGGGUUCUAUUUCAUAAGCUUUUGGUAACUUUAUUAAGGAAUGCCAAUAACCAUUGUAUGUAAAUAUAUAUAAUAUGGUGGAUGGAGUUAAACGAUUUGUAAUGAUUUUAUCACAUUUAUUUCAUCACCUUGAUGAUCUUUAGGUUGUGAAGAAUCCAAAUAAUUUGGGCUUACUUUGCUUGACAAUAUAUUAUAUGAAGUUUUGAGUUGGAAUUUAUAUAUUUUGUUUUCAGUUAUUUAUCAAAAUUAUUAAUGUCUCCUUAAACUAUAUUUUAAAUUUUGAAUUU